GCUGCUAUGGCCGAGUCGUUAAGGCGAGUGAUUUGAAUUUCAAAUUAUCACUUGGGAUUUUCCCGCGUAGGUUCAAAUCCUGCUGGCAGCG
The sequence is a transfer RNA, 91 nucleotides long. It matches the Rfam family "tRNA". From Rfam's summary of the family: Transfer RNA (tRNA) molecules are approximately 80 nucleotides in length. Their secondary structure includes four short double-helical elements and three loops (D, anti-codon, and T loops).